RNAcentral lists this non-coding RNA (20 nucleotides) under Arabidopsis thaliana (thale cress). Lineage: Eukaryota; Viridiplantae; Streptophyta; Magnoliopsida; Brassicales; Brassicaceae. The record is from RNAcentral.
UGGCCUGCGUUUGGUGACUC